AUUGUUGUUGUGCCCUGUCAUAUAAGAGAAUCCUCGAACGCACUUCAUCUCGAGAAGAAAGUUUCCCUCUGCGAUACAUGAUUCGGUGAAGAAAUCCAGGGAGGCAAGCAUGGUGUACAUAAAUUCGCGGGGCGAAGUCGUAGAACACAGGCCGUUCUUGGCCACCGUGAUAGAUUUUAUUUAUGGAUUUGUGGAGGGAAUUCAAAUGUUCUUCAGAACGCUCUUCGGAGGAACGGCACGACCCCAGACUCGACAAGCAGGGGGAUUGAGCAAUGAUAGGGGCGGGAGAGCUCCACCUCGGAGGAGGAUCGCGGGGUUAGGAACGGAUGGGGGCCCCGGUGCACCUCCUUGCGCACCAGGAGGAUGAGGUUAAAGAAUCCGAGGGACGGGUUGAGCACAGAAAGAGUCCGAAGCACCUG
Long non-coding RNA from Galendromus occidentalis (western predatory mite), 419 nucleotides. RefSeq annotates it as selenoprotein K. The record is from RefSeq and is a predicted model, not a curated record. The transcript has 3 exons. NCBI's taxonomy places the organism in Eukaryota, Metazoa, Arthropoda, Arachnida, Mesostigmata, Phytoseiidae.